Vulpes vulpes (red fox) is the source of this 1675-nucleotide long non-coding RNA. The record is from Ensembl. Lineage: Eukaryota; Metazoa; Chordata; Mammalia; Carnivora; Canidae.
CAACAAAACACCACACCAAAUAACCAGGCUGUGAGUCUUUCAGCUUGGUCCACUCUUGUCCCUGCAGGGUGUGUCUGCUGCUGCCUUUAGUCCACUUGAGCUGCACUGGCCAUGACAUAUUUCAGCAGAACUCUCCACAGCGGGUUCUCAUGCAGAUCUCCCUGACAGCAGUGGGCAGAUCGAUGAGAAGGAUAGAAAUGGAAGCCAAGAGACCAGCAGAAGGCUGCCAGGAGCAAGAAUCGGGGAGAGUGCUGAGGCAUCAGCCAAGACAAGGAGAGGCAACCUCCGGAGGGACUCGGGGAGGCAGAAGCUGUGGGCCUGGGGCAGCCUCUUGCUUGGAAGGCAGGCCCUCUGCUCAUGUACUGCAAGCGGGGAUGACAGUGGUGCAGAAGGCAAGAAGAAAACACAAACAGGUUGGGACCAGCUGCCUGAGGCCUGACAGAGAAAUGCCCUCUUUUCCUGUGUGUGGUUUGUGCUUCUCACCGGCAGAGCAGCCAGCAUUUGAGACUUCAAUCAGGACAUAAGUCUUGGGGAAGAAGCCAGCAAGUCAUCUGACCUGCCACCAGUCCAGCUCACCAGCUGAGGACCAGGUUAGGCCAAGUGCCCAGGGCUGCCACAUAUGCUGGACAUUCUGUGCAAAGAACAAGUCGUUAUUGGAUGGCAUUCCUGUUGGACAUCUUUGGGUGGAAAUGAACGAGGCUGAUCACUUCCAGGAGAGAAGCAAUGAGCACCUAGUGUCCUUGGAUCUUUAUCUGCUGUAUCCUCUUAUAUCUCUUGUAAGACGGCCUUAUCCUCUUUCAUUCAGCCUUCCCAGGACAAGUGGCAGGGGGGGUCUCAAAUCUCUGCUUUGACAUUUGAUGCCGUUCAAGGAGCAAUCUCAUUCAAAGAAAGGGCUGAGAAACGAGUUUGAGUAUUUUCUGGUUAUAAUUUAACAUUAUCUUGAGUAGAAAAUGGCAGGAUUUUGUUGAAAAACCCCUUUUUGACUGAUGUGUGUUCUCUUCUAGUUUUGAACAUUUCAGUCACUGUCUUAUAAAAAUAAUUUUAUUGAUUUGAGGCUUGGCAAAGAGAAAUGAUCUACUUUUCAAAAAUGGCCUUAUAAAGAGUGUAUGACUUCCCCCCUUUCCCAAAGUUCUUUGUGUCUUCUUUUAUGUUUAAAAUCUCCUGGAUGAUAUGCCUUGGUCUUUUCUACUAUUGUGCUGAGUGCUUGGUGGGGCCUUUAAUCUGAGAAAUAGUAUCCCAUAGGAAAAAUGCCUCAAACAUUUUUUUCUAUUACACUUCUUUGAUAACUUUUCCCCCUUCCAUUUACUCUGUUUUGUCUUUCUGGAGCUUGUAGUUUUUGGAUGUUGAAUUCCCUGGACUAAACGUCUAACUUUUCCAAAAAUAUUUUUUCCCAUGACUUUUCUCUCUUGAUUCCUUAAUUAGUUAAAAAAAUUUAAAGCACAUCCAAGUUUAUAUAAAAGUUGCCACUGGGGGUAUCUGGGUGGUGUAGUCAGUUAAGUGCCUGAAAUUGGCUCAGGUCAUGAUCUUGGGGUCCUGGGACCGGGCCCCAAGUCGAGUCCCUGGCUCAGCAGGGAGCCUGCUUCUCCCUCUUCCUCUGCCCCUCCUUCCACUUGUGCCCAUGCUUUCUCUUUCUCUCUCUCUCUCUCAAAUAAAUAAAUAAAAUCUUUUUAAAACA